This 134-nucleotide small nucleolar RNA is filed under the name Coturnix japonica (Japanese quail). Lineage: Eukaryota; Metazoa; Chordata; Aves; Galliformes; Phasianidae. The record is from RNAcentral.
AACCAAAGUGUUGAGUUCAGUUCAGGGUCUUGUCCCUGUUCUGGUAAUUAAACUUUGGGACAGAAAUGACUGGGAAGUGCACCCUGGUGACUGAAAGUUUGUCUUAUGCCACCUGUGUUUCUCAGCCUACAACC